Bos taurus (domestic cattle) is the source of this 576-nucleotide long non-coding RNA. NCBI's taxonomy places the organism in Eukaryota, Metazoa, Chordata, Mammalia, Artiodactyla, Bovidae. The record is from Ensembl.
AUUGGAAGGACUGAUGUUGAAGCUGAAAUUCCAGUACUUUGGCCACCUGAUGCGAAAAGCUGACUCAUUUGAAAGGACCCUGAUGCUGGGAAAGAUUGAAGGAAGGAGGAGAAGGGGACAACAGAGGGUGAGAUGGUUGGAUGGCAUCACUGACUCAAUGGACAUGAGUUUGGGAAUGACAUCUGGAAAUCCGACAAGCAUCUUUUAACCCAGAAGGUUACUAAAGAUUGCUGUGCAGAAAUACAGGAAGUUGGGCUUUUCUGGUGGCACAACGGAUGGAAGUCUGCCUGCUGAUGCAGGGGACAUGGGUUCGAUCCUUGGUCCAGGAGGAUUCCACAAGCCAAGGAGCAACUAUGCCCAUGAGCCUUUGCUCUAGAGCCCUCGAGCCACAACUACAGGACCCAUGUGCUGGAACAUGAAGCUUAUGUGUUGCAGCUACUGAAGCCUGCAUGGCUAGAGCCUGUGCUCCACAGCAAGGGAAACCAUCACGAUGAGAAGCCCAUGCACAGCCACAAAGAGUAGCCCCCACUCACCACAGCUAGAGAAAGCCUGCACCCAGCAAUGAAGACCCAGUGC